GAGACAAGAGAGGAAAGAAUUCGCCAAUACCAUGAAGAACCAAACACCCUUCCAGUUCUGGGCUUGCGGGAAGGUGCAAUGCUGCUAGUGGAAGGAGACAAAGCCACCUUGCAAGGAGUGACAGGAGCACGUCUGUUUCUGAGGGGUAAGAAACCAACUGAACAUGAGCCUGGAACAGAUUUCAGUUUCCUCCUGAUUGACAGUAAUCUCCAGAAUCUGUAGCCUUGCACAUUCUGCAGCAAAAGUCACUAUAUGGGAAGACAAUGAGGAGGAAGGAAAGAGAUGCUUCUAGUCCCAGGGUGGCUGGAGAACUUUAUCUUUAUAAAUAAAGAUAAAUAUUCAUUA
Cariama cristata (Red-legged seriema) is the source of this 345-nucleotide long non-coding RNA. RefSeq lists it as uncharacterized. The record is from RefSeq and is a predicted model, not a curated record. The transcript has 3 exons. NCBI's taxonomy places the organism in Eukaryota, Metazoa, Chordata, Aves, Cariamiformes, Cariamidae.